RNAcentral lists this ribosomal RNA (546 nucleotides) under fungal sp. J2 JY-2013. Its description in RNAcentral is "eukaryotic LSU rRNA". The stretch from base 188 to 341 matches the Rfam family "5.8S ribosomal RNA". Lineage: Eukaryota; Fungi. The record is from RNAcentral.
UUCCGUAGGGGUAACCUGCGGAGGGAUCAUUACAGAGUUAUCCAACUCCCAAACCCAUGUGAACUUAUCUCUUUGUUGCCUCGGCGCAAGCUACCCGGGACCUCGCGCCCCGGGCGGCCCGCCGGCGGACAAACCAAAACUCUUGUUAUCUUAGUUGAUUAUCUGAGUGUCUUAUUUAAUAAGUCAAAACUUUCAACAACGGAUCUCUUGGUUCUGGCAUCGAUGAAGAACGCAGCGAAAUGCGAUAAGUAAUGUGAAUUGCAGAAUUCAGUGAAUCAUCGAAUCUUUGAACGCACAUUGCGCCCAUUAGUAUUCUAGUGGGCAUGCCUGUUCGAGCGUCAUUUCAACCCCUAAGCACAGCUUAUUGUUGGGAACCUACGGCUUCGUAGUUCCUCAAAGACAUUGGCGGAGUGGCAGUGGUCCUCUGAGCGUAGUAAUCUUUUAUCUCGCUUCUGUUAGGUGCUGCCCCCCCGGCCGUAAAACCCCCAAUUUUUUCUGGUUGACCUCGGAUCAGGUAGGAAUACCCGCUGAACUUAAGCAUAUCAA